This 476-nucleotide ribosomal RNA is filed under the name uncultured bacterium. RNAcentral's name for it is "bacterial SSU rRNA". It matches the Rfam family "Bacterial small subunit ribosomal RNA", at positions 338 to 806 of the family's 1533-position model. The record is from RNAcentral.
CCUACGGGAGGCAGCAGUAGGGAAUCUUCCACAAUGGACGAAAGUCUGAUGGAGCAACGCCGCGUGAACGAUGAAGGCUUUCGGGUCGUAAAGUUCUGUUGUAAGGGAAGAACAAGUGCCGCAGGCAAUGGCGGCACCUUGACGGUACCUUGCGAGAAAGCCACGGCUAACUACGUGCCAGCAGCCGCGGUAAUACGUAGGUGGCAAGCGUUGUCCGGAAUUAUUGGGCGUAAAGCGCGCGCAGGCGGCCUCUUAAGUCUGAUGUGAAAGCCCCCGGCUCAACCGGGGAGGGCCAUUGGAAACUGGGAGGCUUGAGUAUAGGAGAGAAGAGUGGAAUUCCACGUGUAGCGGUGAAAUGCGUAGAGAUGUGGAGGAACACCAGUGGCGAAGGCGACUCUUUGGCCUAUAACUGACGCUGAGGCGCGAAAGCGUGGGGAGCAAACAGGAUUAGAUACCCUGGUAGUCCACGCCGUAAA